This 107-nucleotide non-coding RNA is filed under the name Nitratireductor pacificus pht-3B. RNAcentral's name for it is "Nitratireductor sp. Pht-3B Glycine riboswitch aptamer". It matches the Rfam family "Glycine riboswitch aptamer". From Rfam's summary of the family: This family represents the bacterial glycine riboswitch. Glycine riboswitches usually consist of two metabolite-binding aptamers domains with similar structures in tandem. Lineage: Bacteria; Pseudomonadati; Pseudomonadota; Alphaproteobacteria; Hyphomicrobiales; Phyllobacteriaceae. The record is from Rfam by way of RNAcentral. RNAcentral also lists the same sequence under 1 other name.
UAAAGACACUCUGGAAAGUCGGGGCUGGCCCCCGCGCCGAAGGUGUAAGCAUGACCGACAGGGUUCCGGUCAUGCGAGUCUCUCAGGCUUCCGACAGAGGGGCACGA